Molecule: unclassified non-coding RNA, 309 nt
Filed under: plant metagenome
Description: partial contains 5.8S ribosomal RNA, internal transcribed spacer 2, and large subunit ribosomal RNA
Rfam family: 5.8S ribosomal RNA (bases 1-105)
Source: RNAcentral
GAAAUGCGAUAAGUAGUGUGAAUUGCAGAAUUCAGUGAAUCAUCGAAUCUUUGAACGCACAUUGCGCCCCUUGGUAUUCCAUGUGGCAUGCCUGUUCGAGCGUCAUUUGUACCCUCAAGCUCUGCUUGGUGUUGGGUGUUUGUCCCGUCUCCGCGCGUGGACUCGCCCCAAAGUGAUUGGCAGCCGGCGUACUGGUCCCGGAGCGCAGCACAUGUCGCGCAAACGAGUGCCUUGGUACGGCGGCGUCCAUAAGCCCCUCUCUCACGCUCUUGACCUCGGAUCAGGUAGGGAUACGCGCUGAACUUACGC